AGAGAAAACAUUACACAUGUUCUGUGCUCUUUCCACUAAUCUGCUUGGCUUCUCGCUUUCACGGGCCUCUCACUUCUUUUUGGAUCUCUCACUCGGUAGGCGUCUUCAAAAAAAAAAGGUGGGGUUAGCGAGUUACUGAUCGCGUGACAAUACUGUACAUGCUCUAAUAAAGCAAAUAAUGUUGCUUCAUUUUAAAAUGCAUACUAAAUGUUACACUUUUUUCUUGAUAAUAAUUAUUUUUGCGGUUUUAUAAAUAUUGUAAGAUACACAUAAUCGAAUCUGUUAGUCUCGAUAAGGAGAGACGCAUAUGCCAAACCCGGGAUGAACGGAAAAUUAAAAAAAAAGCCGUCCGACAGGGAACGUAUUAAUCGCAUUUCCAUUGAUUACAUCAUAACAAUAGAAACAACAUAUCGUAUCGUCGCUUCGAGAGAAGUGAAAUCAAGCGUAUCGCUGGCGGAUGCCGAUCCCGGCAGGGACAAGUCAAAGGAGACAGCCUAUGUGGAUAGUAAUACCGACCACAAUGCCGUGCCGAACUCAAUUCUCAGGAUCGAUGAUGAAUUUGUAAAUUAUGAUGCUAAAAUCAUGGAAAAUUUUGAAAUUCGAGUACUUUUAUGUCGCUACUUGAAGCAAGAGUUCCAUACUGCGAUUCCGAAUCCGCGUACGAUUUUUAGCAAUAAUAUUAAUCGAUGAAAGGUUUCGCGAUACCCGAUACGAUUGCGAUAGGUGAUACGAUACACCGAUAACCUUGUAAAAUCAGAACAUAUUGUAAACGCUGACCAAACGAUAUCGCUCUAUAAUUAUAUAAAACUCUGAAUACUGAGAUAAUAGAAGCUAGACUGCUUGGAAGAAUACCGCUCGCGUAACUUGAUUAAAAUAAACGUCUCAAUUUACAUAACAUUAUUGGUACAUUUUACUCAAUUCACGUACCAUUGUCUAGUCU
Hylaeus anthracinus is the source of this 940-nucleotide long non-coding RNA. RefSeq lists it as uncharacterized. NCBI's taxonomy places the organism in Eukaryota, Metazoa, Arthropoda, Insecta, Hymenoptera, Colletidae. The record is from RefSeq and is a predicted model, not a curated record. The transcript is spliced from 3 exons.